GAUGAAGAACGCAGCGAAAUGCGAUAAGUAAUGUGAAUUGCAGAAUUCAGUGAAUCAUCGAAUCUUUGAACGCGCAUUGCGUCCGCCAGUAUUCUGGCGGGCAUGCCUGUCCGAGCGUCAUUUCAACCAUCAAGCCCCGGGCUUGUGUUGGGGACCUGCGUCCGACGCAGGCCCUGAAAACCAGUGGCGGGCUCGCUGUCCACACCGAGCGUAGUAACUAACCUCGCUAUGGAGUGGCGCGGGCGCCUGCCGUAAAACCCCCAAUUUCACAAGGUUGACCUCGGAUCAGGUAGGAAUACCCGCUGAACUUAAGCAUAUCAAUAAGCGGAGGA
This 332-nucleotide unclassified non-coding RNA is filed under the name soil metagenome. Its description in RNAcentral is "partial contains 5.8S ribosomal RNA, internal transcribed spacer 2, and large subunit ribosomal RNA". The stretch from base 1 to 120 matches the Rfam family "5.8S ribosomal RNA", at positions 35 to 154 of the family's 154-position model. The record is from RNAcentral.